This 433-nucleotide ribosomal RNA is filed under the name uncultured bacterium. RNAcentral describes it as "partial 16S ribosomal RNA". It matches the Rfam family "Bacterial small subunit ribosomal RNA", at positions 29 to 507 of the family's 1533-position model. The record is from RNAcentral.
AGCGAACGCUGGCGGCAGGCCUAACACAUGCAAGUCGAACGAACUCUUCGGAGUUAGUGGCGGACGGGUGAGUAACACGUGGGAACGUGCCUUUUGGUUCGGAAUAACUCAGGGAAACUUGUGCUAAUACCGAAUGUGCCCUUCGGGGGAAAGAUUUAUCGCCAUUAGAGCGGCCCGCGUCUGAUUAGCUAGUUGGUGAGGUAACGGCUCACCAAGGCGACGAUCAGUAGCUGGUCUGAGAGGAUGACCAGCCACACUGGGACUGAGACACGGCCCAGACUCAUACGGGAGGCAGCAGUGGGGAAUCUUGCGCAAUGGGCGAAAGCCUGACGCAGCCAUGCCGCGUGAAUGAUGAAGGUCUUAGGAUUGUAAAAUUCUUUCACCGGGGACGAUAAUGACGGUACCCGGAGAAGAAGCCCCGGCUAACUUCGUG